CACAUAAACAGAGUGAACUUUCUACUCUUUCUUCACAACUUUUCUUCCUCAACUCUUCUUUUUUUUCACUUUCCUUUUUUUUGAUACUCUGUUUUUUUAUAACUAAGAACAAGAGCAGAUAUAACACUUACACACACUUUUUUUUGAAACAAGACACAACCGUCAGCGUUCUAACUUGAUAGGCUCAAAGUUUACGCGAAGGAUGAUACCGGUUUUAGAUUUUCUUUAGGGAUUUGUAGAUAUAAAAGAGGCACAAAGGACACACAAAGGAUAUGAUGAUCAGUAACUAAACAAAACUCUAAUGGACUGAAACUUAACCAAACUCACAAGAAAAACAGAUUGAAACAAAGGGCUAAUGCAAUUUUUUUAUGGCUUUUUGGUGGAUAGGACGAACAAGAUAUAUAUAUGUAGCUAAGGGUAAAAAUCCUACCGUGGAAACUUGAGCUUUGAUACCAGAUGGUGAGGUCGUUGUUCCAAUCUUCACGACGUAGGAUAACUAGCUGAAGAUCAGCCGAUAACUUGCUGCAAGCAGCGAGGAUAACUAGUGCAACCUGACGACACGCACAAGGAGCCAACCACCGUCUCUAUACGGCAGCCUGAACCAAGGAUUCGCCCAACCACAC
This 623-nucleotide long non-coding RNA is filed under the name Sorghum bicolor (sorghum). RNAcentral's name for it is "long non-coding RNA (SBIC_LNC009949)". Lineage: Eukaryota; Viridiplantae; Streptophyta; Magnoliopsida; Poales; Poaceae. The record is from RNAcentral.